Molecule: ribosomal RNA, 490 nt
Filed under: uncultured Dyadobacter sp.
Lineage: Bacteria; Pseudomonadati; Bacteroidota; Cytophagia; Cytophagales; Spirosomataceae
Description: partial 16S ribosomal RNA
Source: RNAcentral
CACGGAGUUAGCCGGUGCUUAUUCAUUCGGUACCGUCACACAAGGACGCAUCCCUGCUCUUCUUCCCGAAUAAAAGCCGUUUACAACCCUGAGGGCCUUCAUCCGGCACGCGGCAUGGCUGGGUCAGACUUGCAUCCAUUGCCCAAUAUUCCCUACUGCUGCCUCCCGUAGGAGUCGGGCCCGUAUCUCAGUGCCCGUGUGGGGGAUCAACCUCUCAGCUCCCCUAUCGAUCGUCGCCUUGGUAGGCCGUUACCCAUACCAACUAGCUAAUCGAACGCAUGCCCAUCUUCAACCAAUAAAUCUUUAACAAAUAGACCCAUGUGGGCCCCCUGUAUUAUGCGGUAUUAAUCCGGGUUUCCCCGGGCUAUCCCCCAGUUGAAGGUAGGUUGCAUACGCGUUACGCACCCGUACGACGGUGACAUUGCUGCCCCCUCGCCUUGCAUGUAUUAAGCCUGCCGCUAGCGUUCAUCCUGAGCCAGGAUCAAACUCU